AAUUUAUUAGUUUAAACCAAAACAUUACAUUUUCAUUGUAAAAAUAAAUAUUUAUUUAUAAAUUA
RNAcentral lists this transfer RNA (65 nucleotides) under Onthophagus cf. jeannelianus. Its description in RNAcentral is "tRNA-Glu". Lineage: Eukaryota; Metazoa; Arthropoda; Insecta; Coleoptera; Scarabaeidae. The record is from RNAcentral.